RNAcentral lists this ribosomal RNA (424 nucleotides) under uncultured Prevotella sp. RNAcentral's name for it is "bacterial SSU rRNA". It matches the Rfam family "Bacterial small subunit ribosomal RNA", at positions 355 to 776 of the family's 1533-position model. Lineage: Bacteria; Pseudomonadati; Bacteroidota; Bacteroidia; Bacteroidales; Prevotellaceae. The record is from RNAcentral.
UGAGGAAUAUUGGUCAAUGGGCGGAAGCCUGAACCAGCCAAGUAGCGUGCAGGAAGACGGCCUUUAGGGUUGUAAACUGCUUUUAUGCGGGAAUAAAGUUCUCCACGUGUGGAGAUUUGCAUGUACCGCAUGAAUAAGGACCGGCUAAUUCCGUGCCAGCAGCCGCGGUAAUACGGAAGGUCCGGGCGUUAUCCGGAAUUAUUGGGUUUAAAGGGAGCGUAGGCCGGCUUGUAAGUCAGUUGUGAAAACCGCGGGCUCAACCUGCGGCGUGCAAUUGAAACUGCAGGCCUUGAGUGCGCGCAGGGAUGCUGGAAUUCGUGGUGUAGCGGUGAAAUGCUUAGAUAUCACGAAGAACUCCGAUCGCGAAGGCAGGUGUCCGGCGCGUCACUGACGCUGAGGCUCGAAGGUGCGGGUAUCAAACAGG